This is a transfer RNA of 72 nucleotides. It matches the Rfam family "tRNA". From Rfam's summary of the family: Transfer RNA (tRNA) molecules are approximately 80 nucleotides in length. The record is from Rfam.
CGGAGCGUAGCGUAGUGGUAGCGCGCACCCUUGGGGUGGGUGAGGUCGGGGGUUCAAUUCCCCCCGCUCCGA